UGUUACAUUUCUUAGUCUCAUCAGGUGACAACUGCCAAACUCACAGAGGUUUGUUUCUCUCUCCUGCAAAACUUCUCUGCCACGCUCAAAAUUUAUGUGAGGAAUUGACAGAUAACUUGGGAAAAGCCAGCCCCAAAACAAACUGCUUUGAAAAGUUAUGAAAUCCUGUUAUUGUCUGAUAUUAAAAUCUUUUCCUGUCUAGCAAAGCCAGAGAUAAUCAUAGAUUUUCUCAUCUCAUUUUCCCACUUUUCCUGGUGCACCGUAAACCCAUCUGAAGUAUUACUUUUAUGACAGCUGACUAUUAAGCAGGCAGUGAAUGCUUUCCAUUUAAAUCACCCCGCUGUGUCACACGGAGCGACGGUUGCUCGGCUGUGACCACCACAGUCCCUGACAGGGCACUCCAGCCUAUACAGUAGAGCUUUUCCUCAAGUGCUCGAAAAAAUGAACUUCUGAACUGGCAAAAGCACUCUCGCCAGGAAUAUUUCUUAGGGCUGCGGAGCUGAUACAACUCGCUCACUCAGAAACAGCUACACUCUGCAAAUCGUUUUGUGAUUUGGACACAAGAGGAAAAUGUAUUAAAAACAUCCACUCAAUUUUAAACUAUAUCCUUUUCUGUUUGUAUUAGAAAGGGGAGCUUGUGGGUGCACAAGUCUUAUUUGGAUUAUUUUGUAUAUUAACUGUUGUUUAACUAUUUGGCUACAGCAAAAUUGUAAUUCUGGGCUGCACAAAUUAAUUAGAACUGCCAUUCAGGACAGAACUAACUUUUACUGAGCUUCAGUAGUACCGUUGCUUUUCUGUGAUGUGUGAGAUGAUAAGCAAAUGAUUUAGUGUAAGCACGAACUGCUAAUGUAACAUGCAGGGGUUUGAGGUUUUUUUUGUCCCGGUCUUACAAUCUGGACUACACAUCAGUGAAUGAUCUAUGCUACUACAGCAUCCCAGUUUGAACUUCUAGCUCCAGAUAGGAGCUGCUUACAGGAAAGGGUCUGACUAGCAUGGGAAGUGUUAAGUUUUAUUUUGAGGCCAGGAAAAAAAAAAAAAAAAAAAAAAGAUGGACACUGUGCCAGGGACUGUCCUUGCUCUGGCUAGCCAAAGUAUUUAUUGUCUUUUACUGCAGGUUUGCUAACGUUACCUGUCCUUUCAGUCCCACUGCUUACUGAAAAAAACCUCCCUCUCCAAAUAAUCACACAAAAUAUAAAGCAAAACUCUUAGUAACAAUCAGCCCAAGAAUUGGUGUCAGAUUCAAUUUUAUGCUGCUCUCUCGGCUCCUACCUCUCAAACCCAUCAUCUUACCCUCCCUUCUUAUUAUUUAUUUAGUAUUUCAUACCCAGUUGUGCUGCAUGUCAUUCCAGGCAAGUUCUGAUAAAUCUGUAUUCUAUAUGGGGUUUUAGCACCUGAUGUUGCUAGAGAUCUACUGACAAACUUUCUCUGGAUUGCUGUAUUAACCGCUUCUUCCUGUACCAACAUAUGAUUUUACCUCCCAAUAUUAAUUGUAAACACACCAACUAAAUAUUUUUUUUUAGAACAUACACUUUUCAGAUUAUGAAUGACAGAAGCAUGAAACCAUUUCCUUCCUGACAGUGGAGUGGUUAUGUGCAAAGAAAUGAGGAGUGCUGUUGGUUAACAGUGUUUUAAAUUCAGAACAAUUAGGUGCAGUUAACUUUGCCAUUGUUCUUUCUGAUGCUGGGGAUGGUGGGUUCUUACCCGUAGAGCAAUUACUCCUUUCAUAAGCGGCUGUUGUUAAUAGCAUUAAAACAAGAUUAAAUACAACAUGUUAAAUAUUGCAAUUAUUGUGGAAAAUAAAAUUAUUUGGUGAGCAUAAUGGGGAGCAAAUCAAGCAUUUAACAUGAUCCAGGAAAUGCUACUCCAAACAAUUGCAUUUGUUUUAUGCAAUUUUUCCCCUUUGAUUGCUGACAGAUGCCGUUUUGGAAACAAACAUCUAAGUAGUUUUCCUUCAAUCAGGAAAAAAACCACACACCAGAAAAUGGCUACAUGUUUUGAAUUUAACUCUUGUCAAUCAGCAUUCUGCACAACACUCCCUGUGAAUAGUACUGGGACAAAACGAUGCCUUCCAAAGACUAAUAAACAACAAAGAUAUUUGCUUCUAAAUCAGAUCUGCUCCGGAGAAAGAAAAAGCCUUCGUGUGGCAUCGACAUUUUUGCAGACACAGCUGCAAAAUAAAAAUGCUUGCAGUAUAGAGUGAUAUUUCAAGUUGGAAAGAAGUUAGGUGUGUGUGUUGUGGGCUACAGGAGAUUUGUUUUCUGCCAGCUGUAGGCCUCAAGCAAUGGAUUGAAGCACUUGGCAGUUUCUUUCCGACUUCCUACUGGAGAAGUGGCCAACUACCCACAAAUAAUUUGCUUAAUUGUUGAGCAGAGUUACCUGCUGCAGCUCACACAGCACGAGCAGGCCCCUCUAUCUUCCCUUAGCUGCAACUUUGGAUGAGGAUAUCGUUGUUCCUCUCAAGUGCACAGAACCAGGAAAGAAUGCUAAAAAAAGGCUAAUAAAGUAUAUUAAUUCAGAUGACUGUAUCAAGCUGGCAUUUUACAGUCUACUGGAAACUGAAUGCAUGAGAGCAUUAGAAAUGUUGGCAUAGUGGGUGGUUUCUCCAAAUGUUGGCUUCUAAUGUUCACAUCGGCACAAGAAACGCGGUAGAAUGGCGAGCAGUUCGCAGUUCCAGACACAUCUUUAGGAUCUUAGACCUCAUUAUUAGAUUAUCUAUUACUUGUACGAUACCCAUUGCUCAUUAACCCUCUCUUUGUUCCCUUUGCCUCCCCCUAUUUCUCCAGUUGCAAUUGCUCAGAACCUUUUCAGCUCAUUGCAACAGUGUGAUUUAGAUCUGCUCCUAAUUUCGGAGGCGUUUUCCUUGGGAAGCCUCAGCUUCGAUGAGUUAUGAGGAGGAUUUCCUUAUCUCAAACAGCGACAAUUAGUUCAAGUGCCACGUGAGAGCAGGCAGUUGAUUUUUGGGCAGCCUCUGAACUGAUGCAAAGUUUCUGACAAGGAGUGUGUUCUAGCUUUUGGAAAUCCUGUAAUCCUGGCUUCAAUCAAGAAGAUCUGCUGUUGCUGAAGGCGUAAACAAGGAGAGAAGCAGCAUGUGACCACUGCUGCUGCACCUUCAAGGACUCCCGAGCCAAAAUCAGCACAAUGGUAAAACUUCUACUGGUUACUUAAUGUUACACACACAUUUUGGAUGAUCUUCUUGAGCCCAGGGAAAGUAGUCCUUUGCCCUCUGCAGGAAAAGUUGGGUUUGGACUCUGCAUUUCCCCCUGUAGCUCUGUUGUGUGUGUUUCUCCCUGCUCCCCUCUCACUCCUCUGAUUUUCUUCCUACCAUCUGUAUUCCCCUUUUCCCUCAUCUGAAACAAGCAUCAAGAUCUUGUUUCUGACAGAACGGUCUGUCAAUAUGGAAACACACUGACAUCACAGACAGUGCUGUGACUUCAUGUCUGAAAGAAACAGGAGGAACAGAUGAAAGGACUGAAGGCGAAGGAAUGACACAUACAAACAUUUUUAAAAAAUAAGUAAAAAUUCUUCUCUAUCAACCCAAAAUGCAAAGGAACAUAAACCAGAUUUAUUUUUAAGUCUAAAUAUAACCAACUAUUUCCUAAUCUGUGGCCAUAACUCGGUACAACAUUUCAACAUGCUCUUCACCCAUGAGAGGUCCCUGUCCCCCAGGAGCACACGCUUUGCUGGCUCAAGGCCCGUGUGACAGACAACAUGACCUAGAGAAGGACUGAGCAGGGUUUGUAAAAAAAAGCCAAUAUCAAGCAUAUAUUGGGAGAAGCCUUUAGAGGGAAAGGAGGAAUCCUUCCCUGGACUAAUCUGUAUACCAUCUAAGCAAAUGCAAAUUCAUAGAAUUUGAAACAAAAGUAUUCUUUGAAAUCACAGAGUCCGUUUGGAUGAGGCUGGAUCACAGGUAGUGCUGCCUCGGUGGGGUGGGGAUACAAAACAUACUCAGGAAAUACUCAAUGCACGUGGGUGGAAUACCUUACUAUGAUUUUCUUUUUUUGCUCCUAGAAUGAAAUAUUAACAAAAGGGCCUAACCAUUAUUUCUAUUACUAACACAGGGCUUUUUUUGUAGAAGAAUUUGGGAGGAGUUGAAAGCCCCACAUUUCCUUUACUAUUUGAAUUAUGUAUUUGAGUUCCAGCAUUAGAGGGCACACAGAAGAUACUGCUUUCCUGGCAUCUCCAGAGCCACUGCAACCCCUUAAUAAGGAGAUUCAUAACUAGUAGAAGAGGAGCUCAAGAAAACUAAAAGAUGCUGAGUCCUCAGGAAAAGGGACCAAUGACUAAUAAAUCAGAUGUUUCUUCCUUCACCUACUGGGAUCAAUAAGAAGCAGGAGGAAAAGUUCUUGUUUGCAUGAGAUAAUGCAGACAAACAGCACCAUGUAGUGGGGAUCCACAGGGAAGCAGCUCAGCUCCCCAGUACAUCACACAAUCUGAUUUCUCUAGCCCAAGUUCUGAUAUAUUCAAAAUGAAUCCAGAAAGAAGCAGAGACUGAUUCACAACAUAGCUACAACUCCAUUACAACAGACAAACCCCAGCCUGCAGCUGAAGUUAUUUCGCCAAAGCAACAAACAACUGCUUUUCAAGUAAAAGCAGCACAUCACCUUGAGAAAACUGUUACAUAAAAUCACAUCUUCCUACCUCUGGGGAAAAAGCAGCAACUGGCAGCUGCCUCUGGAGGGAAAUUAGAUGGAGGAUCUGCUCCAAGAUGGUACUUUCUGAUCCCACCUCUUAUCAGUGUGGUGGCUGAAGCAAAGCCACCACCUCCUGCUUCCUUCUGUCCCCCUCCAAAUUCCCCGGGCAGCCAAACUUCUGUGGAUGUGCAAAUAGUUCAGGAGCAGCAGUCUGGCCAGCAGGUGAAAGAAAUUACUCCCACUGCAUACAGAAAAUACAGGCAUGAGAAGACACAUGGUUUGGGAUAGUGAGCUGCUAUGAAAUGCACUCUGGGCAACUGGGCAUGGGUGUUUUCCUCUCCCCAAGUAUCCACCAAGCUGUCCAAAACUUUGCUGUUUGAGAAGAUAUGCAAAGCAGAAUGUGUGUAAUUCAUCGUGUCCAGCAAUAAACAAAAUAUUAAGUGCAUUUUUAAUGACAUAAAACCUUUUAAAAUACUUUUAAAUCUUUCACUGUGGGACAUCAUUAAAAUUGUUUUGCUAUCUGCAAAAGGCGUGGCCUCCAAUCACAUAAUUAAGCAGUCAAAAAUUGAAAAAUUGGAUUGUUUGGUUCCCACACCACACAAAUACUGAUAAAAGCUUUUUUUGUUUGUCAGUUAGUGCACUGUAAUUUACAGGUUAUGGGCAACACUGUUUGGCAAAUUUAGAGUUUGAAGACCACAUCCACCUCUCCCCAUGUCUUGUCCACACUGGAUACUUUACUCGGGCACUCACUAUGGUUUCAGUAGCUGCAUGCACUCAAAUAAUG
Non-coding RNA from Cyanistes caeruleus (blue tit), 5415 nucleotides. NCBI's taxonomy places the organism in Eukaryota, Metazoa, Chordata, Aves, Passeriformes, Paridae. The record is from RefSeq and is a predicted model, not a curated record.